GAUAUAAGGGUCAGCAGGGAUGAAAUCGAACUACAUAUUCACACACAUUCAGUACUAGCCUACAUUCUAUAAUGAAGUGGAACACUGAUAAAGGUAUAGUUUAUGGUUUUUAUUUAAAACUGUAUUUUUGAUGACUGCUGUUAGUUAAAACGUCCACUAGAUGGCAUUAUAUGAUCUUGCAUUGCACUAAAACCAGGUAUAUGAGCGUUGCAUUUUGGGAAAUGAAGAUGCUAUGAACGCUAAUGGAGAAAACGCUAACGCUAGCGCGACCUCUUUCAAACCAAAGAAAAACUGACGAGUUCCAGACUGCUCUAAUCAGCGAAUUACAUCUGAGUUCUGUGUGAUACAAGUGUCUGACAGAAUUGAUGUCAAGGAGGAUUCGGCCUGAUUCAAUGAGGGAUUGAGGACCAAUUUUUUUCAACUUCAGCCAACUGUUGGAGCAUCACCCAAAGCAGAUAAGGUCGUGGAGGAAAAGACGUUAGUUUGACCAAUAAGCUACAUUGUAGCUUAUGACACAAUUGAAGUGGGCGUCAACUGUUCCUCCGGCUUUUGGCACAUUUAAAUGGAGGCCAGUAUCCGGACGAGUCCAGGUUACCUGCUGAUAUCGACAAAGAGAAGCACAGGAUAAAUUGCCACUCAGUGACGGUAUGAAUGUGGGUGCCAAUGGUCGUCUGUCUCUUUGUGUACCCUGUGAUUAAUCAUUUCAGCGUGCUGCCCGUCUUCCAUUGCAAGUAUUGGUGGCUCGGUGGUAGAGUUUUCGCACGCUGCGCGGGAACCCCGAGACUGAUGCCCGGGCACGCCGAUGCAUCUUGGGGUAGCCUUUGCAGCUAGCCUCGCAUCGGGGCAACAGUUCCGCUACGACAACGCGAGCAGACCAGGAUAUACGGUGUUGGAAAUGUCCCACACUACAACAAAUCAUUAGUUUAUCCACACUGGUUUGAGUGCAAUAUUGUUGUGGUUGGUUCGUUGUUUAAAAUGUGUAAAAGAAAUAAUGUUUGUUUUGCAUGUGGGAUGAGAAUUCAGUAAAACGGCAUGUGAGGGACUAACUUGUCCCCCCCCUCCACAGUACUUAAGUUACUGAAUAUGUAUAUAAAAAUGGAUCUUAAGCUACUAUACCGAGUGUGGUUUGAUUGUCAAUAUCAGUUUGCAUAUGACUGAUGAAAAAGGUAAAAUUUCAGAUUUGAAGAAGUCCAUUGGAACUGUUUUGAAAUAAAAAAAACCAUCCCACCUUGUUUCCAAUUGCCAAAUAUAUAUGCCUUGUAGACUGAAGUGCAAAUUGUGUUUAUUCACAGAUGCAAGACAGUGUUAAAGUAUAAGAAUAAAAUGUCGCAGUAAGGUUUAUUGACCACAUAUUAUAUGUACAUAAUAUAAUUAUAUAUAAGGAAUGUUUGUAUAUAUAAUUUAUGUUUGUACAUAUGAUGUAUGUGUGUAUGUGCAGGGUGAUUCAAAAACAAUGUGCCAAAAUCACACAUUUAUUCCUUUCAAAAUCAUUGACAUAGACUGAAAUGAUUAAUUAAAUUGUUAAUUUGAUAAGAAAGUCUCUUUAUCAAGUAAGUUAACAAAUUUAGUCAUAUCAGCUUGAUUGUCCGUGAUGCUGCUGGUGGUCACAUUGAGCACUUGUAAAGCAUGAAAUAAAAACAAAAAUAUACAAUACUUGUGUCAAUGUAGUUAUUGCCCCCCCAAUUUACCGCAAUGGUUUUGGCCCAUUCUUUUUUUCAUCACCCUGUAUAGUGUAUGUGUGUAUAUAUGUAUGUGUAUAUAUAUACAUUAUUUCUAUAUAUUUAUGCAAAUAUUUUGCGGUACUUCGUGCUGAUUGCAGCUAUGCUCUGGACCCGCGUUCCGUCGACAUUCGCUGGAAGUGAUGGUAAGUUAAUGCAGCGCCAGCCGUACAACAACAGACGCCGAAUCUCAAUGACGCACCCUGAGCCACCCAGGUUUCAUUUUUGCAACGUGUUGACAGUUAGAGCUGUUCCUGAAUGGGAAACAUUUAGGAGCAUAAAAAUACUGCCAGCUUUAACUUCACGGCUGGUAAUGACAGUGUUAGACAUCCGAUCUUCCUUUCCAUCCACUCCCAGUCAAAAUGGAUUCGACAUGUAGUACAAACAUGGCACCCAAAAUAUUGUUUCACAUGUGUGCGUGCGCAAAAAGUAUUCCACAUGUAUGCGCGUAAGUGUCUCACAUGUAUAAGCGCAAAGAUUUCACAUUCAUGCGCGUGAGUGUCUCACA
Molecule: long non-coding RNA, 2226 nt
Organism: Corythoichthys intestinalis (scribbled pipefish)
Lineage: Eukaryota; Metazoa; Chordata; Actinopteri; Syngnathiformes; Syngnathidae
Exons: 4
Source: RefSeq, a predicted model, not a curated record